AGAGGCUCUCGGGAGUCCGAGAGAGCACUGCAUUCUGGGAUUUGUAGUUUCUCUGGUGGAUACUGUCGGCGUUGGGACCGAGGCAGCCCUGCAUCCUGGGACUUGUAGUUUCUCGCACUGCGUGUUAAGAUUUUGGUGGUUUUAGAGAUUGUCCGUGCCUCUUAUUUAGGGGUACGCCUGGAGGCUAGAAUCAUUUUCCGCAAAGGAAACAGUUUUUAGUGAUGUCGUCCACGAGAAAAAAAAAGAUUUAACCCUGGCUUCUGGGCUUUGUCAUUCUCGUACAGCCCUCUGCCCCUCCACACUGUUAUAAAGAAGAUCCCUGUUUAUUGGGAAGGAUAUGUUCGAUGCUUACAUACGCCAUCUGGCAAAUCAGAAGAUGGAAGGCUAAUUUAUACUGGCAAUAUGGCCCGAGCAGUGUUUGGCUGGAGUGCAGUGGCAUGAUCUUGGUUCACCAUACUCUUCGCCUCCCAUGUUCAA
RNAcentral lists this small RNA (477 nucleotides) under Pongo abelii (Sumatran orangutan). RNAcentral describes it as "processed transcript". Lineage: Eukaryota; Metazoa; Chordata; Mammalia; Primates; Hominidae. The record is from RNAcentral.